GACGAACGCUGGCGGCGCGCCUAACACAUGCAAGUCGAGCGAAGCGGCGAACGGGUGAGUAACGCGUGAGGAACCUGCCUCUCACAACGGGAUAGCCUCGGGAAACCGGGAUUAAUACCGUAUGGUGAGAGAUGGCCUCGCGUCUGAUUAGUUAGUUGGGGGGGGAACGGCCUACCAAGACGACGAUCAGUAACCGGCCUGCGAGGGGUAACGGUCACAUUGGAACGGAGACACUGGCCAAACUCCUACGGGAUGCAGCAGUGGGGAAUCUUGAACAAUGGGGGGAACCUUGAUGCAGCGACGCCGCGUGAGCGAUGAAGUUUUUCGAAUCGUAAAGCUCUGUCCUAUGGGAAGCGGUACCAUAGGAGGAAGCCCCGGCUAACUACGUGCCAGCCGCCGCGGUAAUAC
This 408-nucleotide ribosomal RNA is filed under the name uncultured bacterium. RNAcentral's name for it is "partial 16S ribosomal RNA". It matches the Rfam family "Bacterial small subunit ribosomal RNA", at positions 28 to 526 of the family's 1533-position model. The record is from RNAcentral.